AUUGAACGCUGGCGGAAUGCUUUACACAUGCAAGUCGAACGGCAGCACGGGGGCAACCCUGGUGGCGAGUGGCGAACGGGUGAGUAAUACAUCGGAACGUGCCCAGUCGUGGGGGAUAACGUAGCGAAAGUUACGCUAAUACCGCAUACGAUCUACGGAUGAAAGCGGGGGACCGUAAGGCCUCGCGCGAUUGGAGCGGCCGAUGUCAGAUUAGGUAGUUGGUGAGGUAAAGGCUCACCAAGCCGACGAUCUGUAGCUGGUCUGAGAGGACGACAAGCCACACUGGGACUGGGACACGGCCCAGACUCCUACGGGAGGCAGCAGUGGGGAAUUUUGGACAAUGGGCGCAAGCCUGAUCCAGCCAUUCCGCGCGCAGGACGAAGGCCUUCGGGUUGUAAACUGCUUUUGUACGGAACGAAAAGGCUCUGGUUAAUACCUGGGGCUCAUGACGGUACCGUAAGAAUAAGCACCGGCUAACUACGUGCCAGCCGCCGCCGUAA
This 500-nucleotide ribosomal RNA is filed under the name uncultured bacterium. RNAcentral describes it as "partial 16S ribosomal RNA". It matches the Rfam family "Bacterial small subunit ribosomal RNA", at positions 30 to 523 of the family's 1533-position model. The record is from RNAcentral.